GUUGUCGUUGCCGAGUGGUUAAGGCGACGGACUGAAAUUAUUUUGGUAUCUUCCCGCGCAGGUUCGAAUCCUGCCGAUAUCG
Molecule: transfer RNA, 82 nt
Filed under: Dreissena polymorpha
Lineage: Eukaryota; Metazoa; Mollusca; Bivalvia; Myida; Dreissenidae
Rfam family: tRNA
About the family: Transfer RNA (tRNA) molecules are approximately 80 nucleotides in length.
Source: Rfam by way of RNAcentral